This 463-nucleotide long non-coding RNA is filed under the name Brachypodium distachyon (stiff brome). Its description in RNAcentral is "long non-coding RNA (BDIS_LNC005160)". Lineage: Eukaryota; Viridiplantae; Streptophyta; Magnoliopsida; Poales; Poaceae. The record is from RNAcentral.
CUAGAUCAAAUCGUGGUCCAAUAGAUCAAAGCCUCAAGAAAAGUAGAUCAAAUCAUGGUCCAAAUUUCUCCAAUUUGUCAACCCCAAACCAUGGCACAUCAACACCAGAAUCGAUCGGCAACAGUUGAAAGACAAAAGAAAAGUAGAAAUAAAAGAGGGCGACGGCCCCCCUGUCGUCUACGGCACUGAGAGAGCAGCCAUUGGUGCAGGCUAGCCGGCGGUGGGAGGGGUCUCGCGCCGGCGAGCGGACGGCGGCGAGGGUGCUGUGGCUCGAUCCGGCCGAGGAUCCGAGCGGUGAGCGGACGGCAGCAGGGAGGCGGCGCUGUGGCUCGAUAGGGAAGACAACAGGGUCGGCGCUCCUGGAGAUCACGUUGGGACGACGAAGCAAUCGUUUCCGGCGGCGGCUCGAUGGAGAACAGUCUGGGUCGGGUUGGGCUGGACGUGGGCAUACGAUCGGAUGAUA